GUCCACGCCCUAAACGAUGAUUACUCGAUGUGUGCGAUACACUGUACGCGUCUGAGCGAAAGCAUUAAGUAAUCCACCUGGGGAGUACGGCCGCAAGGCUGAAACUCAAAGGAAUUGACGGGGGCCCGCACAAGCGGAGGAGCAUGUGGUUUAAUUCGAUGAUACGCGAGGAACCUUACCAGGGCUUGAAAGUUAGGGAAUGAUCUGGAAACAGGUCAGUCAGCAAUGACCCGAAACUAGGUGCUGCAUGGCUGUCGU
RNAcentral lists this ribosomal RNA (258 nucleotides) under uncultured bacterium. Its description in RNAcentral is "partial 16S ribosomal RNA". It matches the Rfam family "Bacterial small subunit ribosomal RNA", at positions 793 to 1055 of the family's 1533-position model. The record is from RNAcentral.